This 679-nucleotide ribosomal RNA is filed under the name Staphylococcus hominis subsp. novobiosepticus. RNAcentral's name for it is "bacterial SSU rRNA". It matches the Rfam family "Bacterial small subunit ribosomal RNA", at positions 94 to 760 of the family's 1533-position model. Lineage: Bacteria; Bacillati; Bacillota; Bacilli; Caryophanales; Staphylococcaceae. The record is from RNAcentral.
AGCGGCGGACGGGUGAGUAACACGUAGGUAACCUACCUAUAAGACUGGGAUAACUUCGGGAAACCGGAGCUAAUACCGGAUAAUAUUUCGAACCGCAUGGUUCGAUAGUGAAAGAUGGCUUUGCUAUCACUUAUAGAUGGACCUGCGCCGUAUUAGCUAGUUGGUAAGGUAACGGCUUACCAAGGCAACGAUACGUAGCCGACCUGAGAGGGUGAUCGGCCACACUGGAACUGAGACACGGUCCAGACUCCUACGGGAGGCAGCAGUAGGGAAUCUUCCGCAAUGGGCGAAAGCCUGACGGAGCAACGCCGCGUGAGUGAUGAAGGUCUUCGGAUCGUAAAACUCUGUUAUUAGGGAAGAACAAACGUGUAAGUAACUGUGCACGUCUUGACGGUACCUAAUCAGAAAGCCACGGCUAACUACGUGCCAGCAGCCGCGGUAAUACGUAGGUGGCAAGCGUUAUCCGGAAUUAUUGGGCGUAAAGCGCGCGUAGGCGGUUUUUUAAGUCUGAUGUGAAAGCCCACGGCUCAACCGUGGAGGGUCAUUGGAAACUGGAAAACUUGAGUGCAGAAGAGGAAAGUGGAAUUCCAUGUGUAGCGGUGAAAUGCGCAGAGAUAUGGAGGAACACCAGUGGCGAAGGCGACUUUCUGGUCUGUAACUGACGCUGAUGUGCGAAAGC